CCUACGGGUGGCAGCAGUGGGGAAUAUUGCGCAAUGGGCGAAAGCCUGACGCAGCGACGCCGCGUGAGGGAUGAAGGUCUUCGGAUCGUAAACCUCUGUCAGCAGGGAAGAACGGUCACUGUGCUAAUCAGCAGUGAAUUGACGGUACCUGCAAAGGAAGCACCGGCUAACUCCGUGCCAGCAGCCGCGGUAAUACGGAGGGUGCGAGCGUUAAUCGGAAUUACUGGGCGUAAAGCGCACGUAGGCGGUAUGUCAAGUCAAGGGUGAAAUCCCCGCGCUCAACGUGGGAACUGCCUUUGAAACUGGCAAACUGGAGUGUGUGAGAGGAUAGUGGAAUUCCAGGUGUAGGAGUGAAAUGCGUAGAUAUCUGGAGGAAUAUCAGUGGCGAAGGCGACUAUCUGGCACAUAACUGACGCUGAGGAGCGAAAGCGUGGGUAGCAAACAGGAUUAGAUACCCUAGUAGUC
This 465-nucleotide ribosomal RNA is filed under the name uncultured bacterium. RNAcentral describes it as "partial 16S ribosomal RNA". It matches the Rfam family "Bacterial small subunit ribosomal RNA", at positions 338 to 795 of the family's 1533-position model. The record is from RNAcentral.